This 395-nucleotide ribosomal RNA is filed under the name uncultured bacterium. RNAcentral describes it as "bacterial SSU rRNA". It matches the Rfam family "Bacterial small subunit ribosomal RNA", at positions 29 to 430 of the family's 1533-position model. The record is from RNAcentral.
AUUGAACGCUGGCGGCAUGCCUUACACAUGCAAGUCGAACGGUAACGCGGGGCAACCUGGCGACGAGUGGCGAACGGGUGAGUAAUACAUCGGAACGUGCCCAGUAGUGGGGGAUAGCCCGGCGAAAGCCGGAUUAAUACCGCAUACGACCUACGGGUGAAAGCGGGGGAUCGCAAGACCUCGCGCUAUUGGAGCGGCCGAUGUCAGAUUAGCUAGUUGGUGGGGUAAAAGCCUACCAAGGCGACGAUCUGUAGCUGGUCUGAGAGGACGACCAGCCACACUGGGACUGAGACACGGCCCAGACUCCUACGGGAGGCAGCAGUGGGGAAUUUUGGACAAUGGGGGCAACCCUGAUCCAGCAUGCCGCGUGCGGGAAGAAGGCCUCGGUUGUAACG